GACGAACGCUGGCGGCGUGCUUAACACAUGCAAGUCGAACGGAAAGGCCCUGCUUUUGUGGGGUGCUCGAGUGGCGAACAGGUGAGUAACACGUGAGUAACCUGCCCUUGACCUUGGGAUAACUUCAGGAAACUGGGGCUAAUACCGGAUAGGAGCUCCUGCUGCAUGGUGGGGGUUGGAAAGUUUCGGCGGUUGGGGAUGGACUCGCGGCUUAUCAGCUUGUUGGUGGGGUAGUGGCUUACCAAGGCUUUGACGGGUAGCCGGCCUGAGAGGGUGACCGGCCACAUUGGGACUGAGAUACGGCCCAGACUCCUACGGGAGGCAGCAGUGGGGAAUAUUGCACAAUGGGCGGAAGCCUGAUGCAGCAACGCCGCGUGCGGGAUGACGGCCUUCGGGUUGUAAACCGCUUUCGCCUGUGACGAAGCGUGAGUGACGGUAAUGGGUAAAGAAGCACCGGCUAACUACGUG
This 468-nucleotide ribosomal RNA is filed under the name uncultured bacterium. RNAcentral's name for it is "partial 16S ribosomal RNA". It matches the Rfam family "Bacterial small subunit ribosomal RNA", at positions 28 to 507 of the family's 1533-position model. The record is from RNAcentral.